This is a non-coding RNA of Biomphalaria pfeifferi, 445 nucleotides long. The record is from the annotation of a GenBank genome assembly. NCBI's taxonomy places the organism in Eukaryota, Metazoa, Mollusca, Gastropoda, Planorbidae.
UUUUUUUUUUUUUUUUUUCAACCAACCCUAAGCCAGAAUGUACACCAUUUAUUGAGCUGAGUGAAUGGCUCAUCCCAAGCAGAUUGUUAUGUACAAUCAAUGAAGAAAAUGAUGUCAUUGAUGUCCAUCCUUCAUGUUGAUGUCAUUGUGUGAAGUAUUAUGAACAAAUAAUUGCUCUCCCUUUAGCGUUUCAUUUAUGAUCCAAACAGAAGAAAGGUGUGGAAUGCGAAAAAAAAAUUGAGUAAUAUUUGAAGAUAUAAAGAGCCAGAAUACGCAACAGGAAUAUUUAAAGAUGUGAACUUAUAAUUAAAAAAUACGAAUGUUAACCAUUUUAUCUGGGGGCUAAAAUGUUUUAUUUUUUUUAAAUGAGUUUCUAGGUGAAACCUAACAAAACCCAAGAGUUGUCUUAACUUUGAAAUGACAAACGCCCCCCCCCCCCCCCCCU